UACGGAGGGUGCAAGCGUUGUCCGGAAUUAUUGGGUUUAAAGGGUGCGCAGGUGGCUUUAUCAGUCAGAGGUUAAAGACCGGGGCUUAACUCCGUGUUUGCCUUUGAUACUGUAGAGCUUGAAAUACGUAAGGGUAGGCGGAAUUCCUCAUGUAGCGGUGAAAUGCACAGAUAUGAGGAGGAAGACCGAAGGCGAAGGCAGCUUACUAGGCGUUAUUUGACACUGAGGCACGAAAGCGUGGGUAGCGAACAGG
This 253-nucleotide ribosomal RNA is filed under the name uncultured bacterium. Its description in RNAcentral is "partial 16S ribosomal RNA". It matches the Rfam family "Bacterial small subunit ribosomal RNA", at positions 524 to 776 of the family's 1533-position model. The record is from RNAcentral.